GAUGAACGCUGGCGGCGUGCUUAACACAUGCAAGUCGAACGGAAAGGCUCCUGCUUGCCGGGGUACUCGAGUGGCGAACGGGUGAGUAACACGUGGGUGAUCUGCCCUGCACUUCGGGAUAAGCCUGGGAAACUGGGUCUAAUACCGGAUAGGACCACAUUUUGGAUGGUGUGGUGGAAAGUUUUUCGGUGUGGGGUGAGCUCGCGGCCUAUCAGCUUGUUGGUGGGGUAAUGGCCUACCAAGGCGUCGACGGGUAGCCGGCCUGGGAGGGUGUACGGCCACAUUGGGACUGAGAUACGGCCCAGACUCCUACGGGAGGCAGCAGUGGGGAAUAUUGCACAAUGGGCGCAAGCCUGAUGCAGCGACGCCGCGUGGGGGAUGACGGCCUUCGGGUUGUAAACUCCUUUCGCUAGGGACGAAGCGCAAGUGACGGUACCUGGAGAAGAAGCACCGGCUAACUACGCG
Molecule: ribosomal RNA, 465 nt
Filed under: uncultured bacterium
Lineage: Bacteria
Description: partial 16S ribosomal RNA
Rfam family: Bacterial small subunit ribosomal RNA
Source: RNAcentral